This 64-nucleotide non-coding RNA is filed under the name Pseudocoprococcus catus. RNAcentral describes it as "Cyclic di-GMP-I riboswitch". It matches the Rfam family "c-di-GMP-I riboswitch aptamer", at positions 11 to 82 of the family's 87-position model. From Rfam's summary of the family: GEMM was predicted in a large-scale screen for bacterial structured RNA regulatory elements. Genes associated with GEMM are involved in a diverse array of functions, including chemotaxis regulation, signal transduction, secretion and chitin. Lineage: Bacteria; Bacillati; Bacillota; Clostridia; Lachnospirales; Lachnospiraceae. The record is from RNAcentral.
AUCGGCAAACCUGAUGAAAGUCUGGGACGCAAAGCUACAGGGCCUGUAAAAUGGCAGCCAGUUG